CAGUAGAGGCUGCAGUGAACCAAGAUCGUGCCACCCCACGAGUGACAGAGUGAGGCCAUGUCUCAAAAAAAUAAAAAGGUGCCCUCAAAUCAAGUCUCUUUCUAGUAACCAGGUUGAAGUAAUGGCAGAUAGUUACUCCAACUGCCCCAAAUGACACAGCCAGAGAGUUUCUUUGUUAAUACAACAGUCCUUCCUGAGGCUUGGGGGUCUCAUGGGCUGGGGGCUAGCACAAGAAACAGUUGAGACACACGUAGAUGUGUGUGCUGUGCAUCUGGGGCUGGGAUCUGGGGACCUCCAGGUCAAAAUCCUCCAUUGCGUCUCACCCCACCCUGCUAAACUGCAGAGUAACUCAAGAUGACCCAAGCCUUUGCUGGAGGAUUUCCAAGCCCUCCACUUGAUUCCAGGUAGUCUGGGCCCAGAUCAGUGUUCGCAGACUCUGUGGCACAUAGAGGUGCCCCUCCCCUCCCUGCCACAGCUGCCGGGUGAGGGCUGAGGAUGCAGAGACUCCCGGGUGAUUCAGAAAGCUCCUCACAGCAAGGUCAGCCCUUUCAGUUUGAAGAUGCGUGGGAAAAAUCUCUUGCCACCCACACACAUCUGAGGAACAAACAGAUGGUGAAACCAGUAGCCCAAGAUGAGAAAACGGACUUUUUUUUGAGACAGCAGUUGAAGCUGAAGCCUCAAAAGCCAGGGGGAAAGCAUAGCGAUUAUGAAAGACAUUCAAAGUGGGUUAGGGGUGAGAGAAAGGUCAGCCUUUUACUUUUCCCACACCCGCUGGUUUCUGAAGAAGGAUGGUAACGCGAGCAGAAGGGUGAUGGCCAACCUCUGGGCUUUGAUGUGUGUCCCCUCCUCGCCCGCCCCCAUCCUGCAAGCUCUGGGGAGGUCGGAGACUAGUGUGGUUUCCUCACGCCUCCCACCAUGCUGGCACUGAGGUUAUCUCAGAGUUGACAGCCCCAUCUGAAGCCUGGAAUGAAUUAAGUCUUUUUCAGCUAAAAAAUGAACAAAACCUGAGAUGCGUGAGUGUCCUUACCAAAAGGAAGCCCUCUUUUCUAGAACAGGUCUGUCUUCAGGCCUGUGGGUCCAUAGAAUCAUCACAGAAAAAGUGAUUUCAGGAGGCCUCCCCCGCCUUCUGUUCCCAAGGCCGACUCUGACUGAGCCUCGGAGGAGAGAAGGAAGCCAUUUCCGGGAGGCCAAAACAUCCAUCUUCCAGGCUCUUCCUGUAAGUCAACCUGCUUUUACAGAUGAGGAACCAAGACCCAGGGAAGAUGGGAAGGCAGAGAAAAUCCAUCAAUUUGUACCCUACCCACCCUUUGGUGACUUUUCCAAGAAGCUGGGCUAAGUUCCAGUAAGAGAAAGCUCU
Molecule: long non-coding RNA, 1357 nt
Organism: Piliocolobus tephrosceles (Ugandan red Colobus)
Lineage: Eukaryota; Metazoa; Chordata; Mammalia; Primates; Cercopithecidae
Exons: 3
Source: RefSeq, a predicted model, not a curated record